This 301-nucleotide ribosomal RNA is filed under the name uncultured bacterium. RNAcentral's name for it is "partial 16S ribosomal RNA". It matches the Rfam family "Bacterial small subunit ribosomal RNA", at positions 509 to 808 of the family's 1533-position model. The record is from RNAcentral.
CAGUCGCCGCGGGAAUACGUAGGGGGCAAGCGUUAUCCGGAAUAACUGGGCGUAAAGGGUGCGCAGGUGGUUUAACAAGUUAGUGGUGAAAGGCAUAGGCUCAACCAAUGUAAGCCAUUAAAACUGCUUAACUUGAGUGCAGGAGAGGAAAGUGGAAUUCCUAGUGUAGCGGUGAAAUGCGUAGAUAUAUGGAGGAACACCGGUGGCGAAAGCGGCUCUCUGGCUUGUAACUGACACUGAGGCUCGAAAGCGUGGGGAGCAAACAGGAUUAGAUACCCGUGUAGUCCCUGUCUCUUAUACA